This 252-nucleotide ribosomal RNA is filed under the name uncultured bacterium. RNAcentral describes it as "partial 16S ribosomal RNA". It matches the Rfam family "Bacterial small subunit ribosomal RNA", at positions 524 to 776 of the family's 1533-position model. The record is from RNAcentral.
UACGUAGGGACCAAGCGUUGUUCGGAUUUACUGGGCGUAAAGGGCGCGUAGGCGGCUUGACAAGUCACUUGUGAAAUCUCCGGGCUUAACUCGGAACGGCCAAGUGAAACUGUCAUGCUAGAGUGCAGAAGGGCAAUCGGAAUUCUUGGUGUAGCGGUGAAAUGCGUAGAUAUCGAGAGGAACACCUGCGGCGAAGGCGGGUUGCUGGGCUGACACUGACGCUGAUGCGCGAAAGCCAGGGGAGCGAACGGG